Molecule: ribosomal RNA, 435 nt
Filed under: uncultured bacterium
Lineage: Bacteria
Description: bacterial SSU rRNA
Rfam family: Bacterial small subunit ribosomal RNA
Source: RNAcentral
UGAGGAAUAUUGGUCAAUGGGCGGGACCUGAACCAGCCAAGCCGCGUGAGGGAGGAAGGCCCUAUGGGUCGUAAACCUCUUUUGUCAGGGAACAAAAAGCGAGUAUGUAUACUAGUCUGAGUGUACCUGAAGAAAAAGGCAUCGGCUAACUCCGUGCCAGCAGCCGCGGUAAUACGGAGGAUGCGAGCGUUAUCCGGAUUUAUUGGGUUUAAAGGGUGCGUAGGCGGCGGUGCAAGUCAGCGGUAAAAGCCCGGGGGCUCAACCCCGGCGAGCCGUUGAAACUGCAGUGCUAGAGAAGGCGAGAGGUACGCGGAAUGCGCAGUGUAGCGGUGAAAUGCUUAGAUAUUGCGCAGAACUCCGAUUGCGAAGGCAGCGUACUGGCGCCUGACUGACGCUGAGGCACGAAAGCGUGGGGAUCGAACAGGAUUAGAUACC